This is a long non-coding RNA of Trichechus manatus latirostris (Florida manatee), 523 nucleotides long. RefSeq lists it as uncharacterized. Lineage: Eukaryota; Metazoa; Chordata; Mammalia; Sirenia; Trichechidae. The transcript has 3 exons. The record is from RefSeq and is a predicted model, not a curated record.
GUGUGGAAGGAGGGGGUGAUUCCCAGCAGGAGGAUCUGGGAACCAGGGCUUUCUGCCCACUUUGAAAUUGGGUUGUUUGUCUUUUUUGUUGGUGAAUUUCAAGAGCUCGUUAGAUAUAUUCAUAUAUUCAUAUGGUUUCCAGAUAUUUUCUCCCAUUCUGUAGGUUGUCGUUUCACUUUUUUGAUAAUGUUCUUUGAUGCACAAAUCGUUUUCAUUUUGUUAAAGCCCAACUUAACUCUUUUUUCUUUUAUUGCUUACUUUUUGAUGUCAUAUCUAAGAAUCUACGGCCAAAAACAAGGUCCUGAAGGUUUACCUGGAGCCUUGGUGGCGCAGCGGUUAACAGCUCGACUGCUAACCAAAAGGGUUAAUAGUGACACAGUAGAGAGAUAAAGACAACAUUUAAUGAAAGGAAGAACAUAAUCCUUUGAAAGAGAAGACUUCCCCACACCGUUGCUGGUAAAAUAAAGCCUGCAAUAUGCAGAUGACACAACCUUGCUUGCUGAAAGUGAAGAGAACUUGAAGC